GGUGUUACUCGGGGUGCGCCAGUGGAAGCGGGAGGCAGUUGCAGCUUUCAGUUAGAACAACACUGGAUUGGCAAGAGGGAGACUGAGGCGGGAACCCAGGCAGAGGCUGCUGUGAGUCCAGCUAGGAUGAGACGUGGGUGCCAGACAGUGGGCCUGGGGCAGACCCCAGGGACUCCGCAGUGAAGACCCCACCUCAGUGGUCCUGGGCCCCAGGCCUCAAGAGACUUGGGGCAGCUCCCUAAGCAGCAAGAGGGGUCCUGUCAUCGUGAGGCGUGUUGAGGAUCCAGAAGCUGUGGUUUCAUAACUCCGUCACUGUGUGGUGUCUGAAAGCCAUUUCAUUAAAUGUCACAUGGAAUCAAAAUAGAAAUUACAUCUCUGGGACAAAGCCCAUUGAGCCAGGAGCCAGGGAUUCUGAAUUGGAACCAGAAUAGCCUCCGAAGCUGGGACUGUGGAUCCAAGGCUGCCCCCACCCCCUGGGUCUCGCUCACAUCUGCACUCCCCAGAGGGGGCAGGUGGUCCUGGAGCCUAGCCUACCUGCCGAGAGUCAGAGGUGGCUGCAGGGGAACCAUGGCAGCCCUCCUUCUCACACUCAUCCUGGGCACCCUGCACCAGCAGAAGGGUUUACAUGUACAAUCACCCAUCCCUAGCCCCUUCUG
RNAcentral lists this long non-coding RNA (656 nucleotides) under Homo sapiens (human). RNAcentral's name for it is "non-protein coding lnc-RRM2-3:3". Lineage: Eukaryota; Metazoa; Chordata; Mammalia; Primates; Hominidae. The record is from RNAcentral.